GACGAACGCUGGCGGCGUGCUUAACACAUGCAAGUCGAACGGAAAGGCCCCUUUGGGGGUACUCGAGUGGCGAACGGGUGAGUAACACGUGAGUAACCUGCCCUUGACUUCGGGAUAACUUCAGGAAACUGGGGCUAAUACCGGAUAGGAAUCCUUGCUGCAUGGUGGGGGUUGGAAAGCUUCGGCGGUUUUGGAUGGACUCGCGGCUUAUCAGCUUGUUGGUGGGGUAGUGGCUUACCAAGGCUUUGACGGGUAGCCGGCCUGAGAGGGCGACCGGCCACAUUGGGACUGAGAUACGGCCCAGACUCCUACGGGAGGCAGCAGUGGGGAAUAUUGCACAAUGGGCGGAAGCCUGAUGCAGCAACGCCGCGUGCGGGAUGACGGCCUUCGGGUUGUAAACCGCUUUCAGCAGGGGCGAAGCUUGUGGUGACGGUACCUGCAGAAGAAGCACUGGCUAACUACGUG
RNAcentral lists this ribosomal RNA (465 nucleotides) under uncultured bacterium. RNAcentral describes it as "partial 16S ribosomal RNA". It matches the Rfam family "Bacterial small subunit ribosomal RNA", at positions 28 to 507 of the family's 1533-position model. The record is from RNAcentral.